This is a long non-coding RNA of Gasterosteus aculeatus aculeatus (three-spined stickleback), 3379 nucleotides long. RefSeq lists it as uncharacterized. The record is from RefSeq and is a predicted model, not a curated record. NCBI's taxonomy places the organism in Eukaryota, Metazoa, Chordata, Actinopteri, Perciformes, Gasterosteidae.
GCGUGUGCGUGCGUGCGUGUGCGUGUGUGCUGCAGGAGAUCUAAGCGGUUUGUGUGCUAACAGCUCUCUGAAGGCUGUAUAGGAUCAGAGUGUGAAACAACAGCAGCCAUUAAAGCCCAACAACGUGGGGGGGGCGGCCCCACCCACGGUGAGAGUCUGUCCUCCUCCUCGUGUCUUCUAGGAGUCGCAUUCAUUCACAUGCAUGUCAGAUCAGCAUCUGGUUCUCCUUCUCACAGCAGUAACGACAAUUAUGAAGACAGACAUCUGGGAAAUGAGCAGUUUUAUCUCAGUGUCCUCAUGUCUCUCUGAGAGAAGGGACGUGUGAGACCGAGGACAGUGUCUGUCCUCUUCACGGUGAGAGGGAGCAGAAUCAUCACUUAGCACAUGAAGGACGAACAACGAUUCUUAUUAUACAGUCAAAUGUCAUUUAAAGUUACACCAUGUAGCUCCAAAUAAAUCCAUUUACACACUGAACAUCUGAAUACUCGUCGCAUCCAAACUGCAGCUUCAUCUCCACGCCAACAGCUGGGUGUGAAAUAAUGAAAGAGCAGACUUCAGCAACACAAAGAGCAGCUUGAAGAAGUCUGGUCCUCAGCACUCUGAUGCAGGACUCUUCAAAGCAACGGGACACAAAGAGGACGGAGAGGAAAUAACCACCUGAUCAAAGGGUGAAGAGACCUGGAGAGGAGCCGCUACCCAGCAACUGUACAUUCCUCAGAUGGUCUUUUCUCUGAACAUCUGCUUCUGUCCAGAUGUUCUCUUGGUCACUUAAUGUCCUCAUGAUGGAGGUUUGACUCCACAUGGACCAUAAUCUACUAAAUGAACAUCAUGCUGUAUUGGAGAAGACUUGAAACCAUAAACUCAUGUUUACAAUGUUUACUGAGGGAAUAAAUCAAGAGAGAAGUAGUGAUUUUCUCGAGUCGCCCCCUGCUGGAUAUUUUUGCCACUGAUUCCAGUGAAGAGUGAAUUACAGUAGUCUUGAGGAGAUAAAAGCAUUGGACAAGCUUCUCUGCAUCUGACAGGGUCAAAGUGGGCAGAGUUUGGAGAUGUCUUUGAGAGGAUACAAGGUUUUGCACCGGUAUUUGAUUUGGUCAUUAAAGACAGGUGAGGGCCAAACCCAACUCCCAGAUAGGUAACUGGAGGAGAGGGGUAUGACCGGACCGUCAAAGGUGAUGAAGGAUGACUGAACCUGGUGUGGAGUGCCAACCAGAAGGCUUCGGUUUUGGAACCGUUUUAGUUGGAGAAAGUUGUUGCUCAUCAAUGCCUUUAUGUCCUUUAAGACAAGCGGUGAGACAUGACAAGGCUGCAGACGGGCUUGGGGCAGUCAUGAUGUAGAGCUGUGUAUCGUCCGCAUAACAGUGAAAGGACAUUCCAUGUUUGCUGAUGACACGGCCGAUGGGGAGCAUGUAGGUUACUUCCCAGUUCUGCCAGAAAGGUUGGACAGAAACCACUCGAGUGCACAGUCUGAUGGUCCAAUGGUGGUGUGGAGGCGCUCGAGCAGGAUAGUGUGAUCCACUGUAUCAAAUGCAGCAGUCAGGUCCAGGAGGAUGAGAAGUGAGGGUGAUCCAGCAUCCAGUCAUCAGCAGGUCAUUCGUCACGCUGAGCAAAAGCGGUUUCCGUGCUGUGAGCUGAACGGAAUCCUGACUGAAAGUUGUUGUUCUUGAGGUGGUCCAGAAGUUGAGAAGCAACUACCUUCUCUUGCACCUUGGGCAGGAAGACAAGGUUGGAGAUCGUGGGACAUGGCGCAAGGGUAGAGAGGGUGCGCUGGAAACCACAAGGCUGGUGGUUGGAGUACCGGCUGCCGCAUGUCGAAGUGUCCCUGAGCAAGACACCUAACCCCUAAUUGCUCCCCGGGCAAUAAUGUAAAAAGCCACGGGUUAAAAAUGUAAUUUAAGUCGCUAAGCGUCAGCUAAAUGACCUGUAAUGUAACGUAGUUGGCUAGAACCUCGGGGUCUCUGUAGCGUCAGUUGAAAAGGAGGGUUGUGGGCCCCAGGAGAUGGUUUAUAGUGGAAAAAAGCUGUCUAGAGUUGCCAGGGUUUUGUUGAUUGGCUGGAAUAGAGGUGUGAGCGAGCCCCUUUAAGAGCGUUGGAGUGGAACCUCCGAUGCUCUCGGAAAGCCAGUUUAUGGACAAUGAGCCCUGAGUGUCUGCAGCGUCGUUCCAGGACACGCCCAGCUGUUUUUAUUUUCCAGAGGUGUGAACCAGGGAGCGAGAAAUUGAAAUUGACCUCACGUGACUUGACGUGGCCAUGGAGAUCUAAAACACUGCUCAGGGAUAUUGUAUCAGUUCCACUAAUUCAUCCAUUGCUGCAGAGACAGGUGAUGACCUGGAGGUCCAUGGUCAUAGCCACUGAGUCAAUGCUUGUCCAGUUCCAGAAUGACAUUUGAUUUGAGGUCUAACAGUAGGCAGCGUGAAAGUCAAGGCCAUUGAGACCACCUCAUGGUCGGACACACCAAGAUCAUAAACCUGUAGGUUACCUUCUGCUUCAUUUGGGUUUUGAAGUCUUCAGCAGCCGUUUUCAUUUCACUCAUUACUGACCAUAAUCUCUCAGAGUUAAUGCAACACACUGAUGACAUAAAAACAAGAAGACGCAGCAACGUCAUCCAGGUAGAGACAUCAAUUAUUAUUCCAUCCUCGUUCCGGUGCACCUUUUUUGUCAUAUUGCACACAUAAGAUAAACCAGUUAGUGAGUCCAAAAACACAUUGUGAGUCUUUCAUGCUCCAGAGAAACCAGGAACAGCAGGAUGCUCUAUAACAGGCGUCAAAUCCCAGCCGGCCUCCCACCUGCAGCGGCUCUGCUUGGGAUCAGGAGGAGGAGGAGGAGGAGGAGGGUCAGGCUUCAUCCUGCUGCUGCUCAGAUUCAACCAAGACCUCAACACCUUUCUCACACAAAGCGGCAGCCAGCGAGCGCCCAGACGUUUACACGACAUGGAGAAGAUCCUGGAGUCCUGGAACACUUCUUCACACAAGGGGGUUGUUGUUCCCUGGAGUUGGAGCAUCAACAGGAGGCCGUUCAGGAGGACGCUGAACCUUCUGGCUACAGAGGCCAUUACAGGGAGAGGUCACAGUGUGUCUACGUGGCUAAUGGCCCUUUCUGCUUGGUCAAACACGUUAUUUAUCUCUUAUUGUGUGUGGCCACGGGCCGUGAAUAAAUCUGUAAUUACCCACACUGCCAUCAGGUCGGGUUAAUGGAGAAACCAUUAGCACGAAGGGGGAGGCAGAGAGGAGGAGGAGCAGGAGGAGAGCAUAAUCAGCAGAUAAUAGCUCCCAAUUCUGUUUAUUAUCAAUCGGUCUGACGCCUGGAGAUUAAAAACAGGAACAUAUGAAUUACAUGGAGUGAUAUUUUGUCAUGAAUAAAUGAGUUAAGAUGUUGCUGUUUUA